Molecule: microRNA precursor, 65 nt
Filed under: Oryza longistaminata (longstamen rice)
Lineage: Eukaryota; Viridiplantae; Streptophyta; Magnoliopsida; Poales; Poaceae
Description: pre miRNA MIR2907
Rfam family: MIR2907 microRNA precursor family
Source: RNAcentral
CAGCGCCCCUUCCUCCGCCCACUCAGCUACGACGUGACAGCCGAGUGAGGGCCUCAGGGUGAUGC